This 433-nucleotide ribosomal RNA is filed under the name uncultured bacterium. RNAcentral describes it as "partial 16S ribosomal RNA". It matches the Rfam family "Bacterial small subunit ribosomal RNA", at positions 29 to 507 of the family's 1533-position model. The record is from RNAcentral.
AACGAACGCUGGCGGCAUGCCUAAUACAUGCAAGUCGAACGAGAUCUUCGGAUCUAGUGGCGCACGGGUGCGUAACGCGUGGGAAUCUGCCCUUGGGUUCGGAAUAACUUCUGGAAACGGAAGCUAAUACCGGAUGAUGACGUAAGUCCAAAGAUUUAUCGCCCAAGGAUGAGCCCGCGUAGGAUUAGGUAGUUGGUGAGGUAAAGGCUCACCAAGCCGACGAUCCUUAGCUGGUCUGAGAGGAUGAUCAGCCAAACUGGGACUGAGACACGGCCCAGACUCCUACGGGAGGCAGCAGUAGGGAAUAUUGGACAAUGGGCGAAAGCCUGAUCCAGCAAUGCCGCGUGAGUGAUGAAGGCCUUAGGGUUGUAAAGCUCUUUUACCCGGGAUGAUAAUGACAGUACCGGGAGAAUAAGCUCCGGCUAACUCCGUG